This 440-nucleotide ribosomal RNA is filed under the name uncultured bacterium. RNAcentral's name for it is "bacterial SSU rRNA". It matches the Rfam family "Bacterial small subunit ribosomal RNA", at positions 30 to 504 of the family's 1533-position model. The record is from RNAcentral.
CGAACGCUGGCGGCAUGCCUAACACAUGCAAGUUGAACGGGAUGGUACCUUCGGGUACCGGCGAGUGGCGCACGGGUGAGUAACACGUGGGAAUCUACCUUAGAGUGGGGAAUAACCAUUGGAAACGAUGGCUAAUACCGCAUAAUCCCUCAGGGGGAAAGGCUUCGGCCGCUCUUAGAUGAGCCCGCGUUAGAUUAGCUAGUUGGUAAGGUAAAAGCUUACCAAGGCUACGAUCUAUAGCUGGUCUGAGAGGAUGAUCAGCCACACUGGAACUGAGACACGGUCCAGACUCCUACGGGAGGCAGCAGUGGGGAAUAUUGGACAAUGGGCGAAAGCCUGAUCCAGCAAUGCCGCGUGAGUGAAGAAGGCCUUAGGGUUGUAAAACUCUUUCGCCCGCGAUGAUGAUGACAGUAGCGGGUAAAGAAGCUCCGGCUAACUUC